GGCAAGCCCAUGAAGUCCUAGCAACAAGGCAAAGGCUGAAUUUGCUCCAGACACCUAUGGAUUUGCCGUCGGUAAAUCAGGGUAACUCUGAUCUCUUCCACUGCUAACACAGACAGUUGUGAAUCUCCUGCCUCUAAAAUUACGCUCCACAAGACAAACUCAUCCACUCCUCCGUCUUCUCAUCCCCAAGGCCUAAGACAUCUCUGACCUUAUCUCCAAAUACAGUCACCUUCCAAGAUACUGAGGAUUAAGACAUCAACAUAUGGAUUUAAGGGGACACAAUUCAACCCCUUGCAAAGAGCUACAGAUAUCUUUAUUCUACUACUCAUAAAAUGUCUUAGGAAUACAAUAGCCAUUAGAACAUUAACUGGUUGCAAAAGGUUGAAUUGCUGAAGAAACCAGCUGUUUUUCAGAAAGAGAAAAAGCUUUCAUGCAGCAUUCUUCAUUUAGAAUACAUUGUUAUGCAGGUAUAUACAGCAAGUUAGUGUGUACAUUGAGAAAGACCCAGCAUAAAGUCACAGAGGACUCUGGUGCCAAAUCAUCUGAGUAUUUAUUUGAAUACUGGCUCUGUUUCUGACCAGCUGUGUGACUUUCCCAGCUUGCCUCCAACAACCUCUCCAUUCAAUUUUCCACAUACUGAGAGAGAUUUAUUGAUUACUCUGGCAAGAUACUGGGAUAGGCACAGAAGACCCAGCAGUGCCCAAAAAAACAACCUCUGUCCCACUCUGCCAUAAAGGACUCUACAGUCGAAGUGUUUGAGAAGAUCCUGGAAUAGUUUAAACAGUAUUGGCAUUAUUGGGUCACUUAACGGGUGAGAGGACUCAUUCAUAAAGCCAUCUGGUCCCAGCAUCUGUUUUAGAGGUUAGAUCUUUUCAGCUGUUUCAAUUUUUUUCCCCAGGGUAUGGUUCUAUUCAAGUUUUCUACUUGUUUUCUGAUUUUUCAAUUUUAUUAAUUUAUAAUUUUCUAGAAUAUUAUUCUUUCAAAAAAUAUUGAGUGAUAUUUUGUCAGGCAUCUGUCUUUGUUGUGCCCUGGCCUUUCAUAUUUUGGAAGUGAAUUGUUUAUUGUUUAGUAUGGCUAAUGUAGUUUUUUUCCUGUAAGCUUGUACAUUUUUCUUUAUUCUUUCAAUUAAAAUGUCCUUCUAGAAUGUAUCUAUUAGAAUAAACAUA
This is a long non-coding RNA of Homo sapiens (human), 1166 nucleotides long. RefSeq lists it as uncharacterized. The transcript is spliced from 8 exons. Lineage: Eukaryota; Metazoa; Chordata; Mammalia; Primates; Hominidae. The record is from RefSeq and is a predicted model, not a curated record.